Long non-coding RNA from Cynocephalus volans (Philippine flying lemur), 1879 nucleotides. RefSeq lists it as uncharacterized. The record is from RefSeq and is a predicted model, not a curated record. NCBI's taxonomy places the organism in Eukaryota, Metazoa, Chordata, Mammalia, Dermoptera, Cynocephalidae. The transcript has 6 exons.
GUUUCUCCAACAUGUGCACCCACACUGCAAUUCCUCCCAGCCUUUGCAGUCUGUGUUCAUCCACACCAUCACCACCCAUCUCCUAUUACCAGGCAUCAUUGUCACGGAACCCUCUGCAAUCUUAAGGGGCUCUUAUUUGCUGUCCAUGAUCCUGCAGUCUUGGGAUUUUUCUUAGCCUCUUGGUCCCCUUUCAUGGCUCCUUUUUCUCUUCCUGCCCCUGAAUGUGGCUGUUUUCCAAAGCAAGGAAGAUUCCCAGCAGCAGGUAUUUAAGGCAGUACCAGCACAUAACCAGAGUUCCUGCCAUCCAAGUGCAUUGGAGUUUGGCUCUGAAGAACUUUAAGUAGGACCCCAGUCUACCAUAACAGUACAGAUUCUUCUUCCUGUCCAUGUGCUAUGUGCUGAGAUGCCAGUUUUACUGUUGCUAACAGAUAAAUCCACAGUGAGUGUGAUCCUCCUAUAUUCUAAAAGGAGAGAACAACCAGAUGGGAGAAUCUCCUCUGUUAUUAAUGAUUCAGUGAAGAAGAAAUGGAUCCCAAGGUGCAGCAUCAGUGAGUCCAAAGCAUCAUCCAUCCGUCAGUAUAGGAGGGCCACAGUCUGAAGGUGAGGAAGCCUGGCCUCAGCCUUGAAAGCAGUGCUAUUAAUUUUAGGCUGCAGGCCCACAGCUCUGUUUGGAUUCAAACCAAACCCCAGUGGUACAUCACUCACAUCAGAGUCAACAGGACCAGGUUUUUGCGUACUUCACCUCACAUUCAGCAAGGUGACACAGCAUUCAAAUUGCCAUCUUGAAAGCAGAGACCAGACCCUCACCAGACAACUGAACCUGCCUGCAUCUUGGUCUUGGACUUCUCAGCCUCCAGAAAUCUAAAACCCCUGAGUUUUAACUGGACACAUGUCCACCCAGCCACAGAUUACAUUUCCCAGGCUCCAUUGCAGCCAGCUGUGACCAUGUGACUAAGUUUGGCCCAGUGGAAUAUGAGCAGAUAUGAUGUGUACUACAACCAGGUCUUCUUAAAGAUACUUGCCCUGGACUCCUCUUCUUUCCCACUUCCCUUGGAUGUGGUGGUAAGCCACCAUCAACUAUGCUGAUGCUGAUAAUACACUAAGCCAGGGAGAACCAAAGGAAAGGAAGAACCGUUUCCUUAGAAGACCUUGAAUAGCAAAGCUGCUUGUCCUCCAGUUCUUGACCACUCACUACUUGACUGUUACAAAAGAGUGAAAUAAACUUCUGUCAUCUUUGAGCUGUUGUACUUCAAGUUUAGGCUAUACUCCAGUAGUAAACCUUCAAAGACUAUCCACAAACUUAAUUAGUCAUAUCCUUUUAAACAUUUCAAAUUAAAAUUGCAAGUCUAAUAUGCCAAGUCUCUGGUAUGUUAGAUUUUCUUCAAUGUUUCAAGCUCUCUAAGAAACACACAGAUUAUAAUGAUGAUUGAAAACUUAUUUCCAACCUUACCACAAAAAGGAGUGCUGCAUUCAGUGCAUCUAAGAUAUAAGAUGCAACAUUACUUUAAUAUCACUAAGGUAGAAGAAACACCACUGUAGUGGAUUGAAUUAUGUCCCCCCAAAACUCAAUGAAGCUUGAAUUGUGUCCCCCAAGUUUUAUGUAUUAGAAACUUGGCCCCCACUGUGACUAUUAAGAGGGUGGGAAAUCCUAUUAUGGUGAUUGAAAGGUGGAGCCUUGAAGAGGGGAUUGGAUUGUAGGACCAUGCCAUAGUGAAUGGAUUAAAAAUGGUGGUCAUGGGCAUGACUCUGAGGGCUUUAAAAGGAAGAGUCUGUCUUUCUCUCUCUCUGCUCUCUCUGCUUCCACCACCUUGCAAUGUGAGACCCCUGGGUCACUGUCACCACCAUCAGAUGGACUUUGGACUUCCCAACCUCAGAAACU